Molecule: ribosomal RNA, 370 nt
Filed under: uncultured eukaryote
Lineage: Eukaryota
Description: partial 18S ribosomal RNA
Rfam family: Eukaryotic small subunit ribosomal RNA
Source: RNAcentral
CAAUAGCGUAUAUUAAAGUUGUUGCAGUUAAAAAGCUCGUAGUUGGACCUUGGACCUGGACAGGCGGUCCGCCUCACGGCGUGUACUGUCUUGCUGGGUCUUUCCUCUUGGUGAUCUGUUGUUUCGGCAGCAGGGAACCAGGACUUUUACUUUGAAAAAAUUAGAGUGUUCAAAGCAGGCUCGACGCCGGAAUAUAUUAGCAUGGAAUAAUAAAAUAGGACGUGCGGUUCUAUUUUGUCGGUUUUUGGAAUCGCCGUAAUGAUUAAUAGGGACAGUCGGGGGCAUUAGUACUCACAUGCUAGAGGUGAAAUUCUUGGAUUUUGUGAAGACUAACUUCUGCGAAAGCAUUUGCCAAGGAUGUUUUCAUUAA